This is a long non-coding RNA of Gallus gallus (chicken), 2723 nucleotides long. RefSeq lists it as uncharacterized. The transcript has 2 exons. The record is from RefSeq and is a predicted model, not a curated record. Lineage: Eukaryota; Metazoa; Chordata; Aves; Galliformes; Phasianidae.
CUCGGCUCCGCGCCGCCCGCGCCCGCCCUGGGCCGGGAGGGCCGCGGGAGGCUCACGCAGGGCCCGCCGCCGCCACCGCCAUCUUGGCGCCGCGCUUCGCUUCGCCCCGCCCCGCGCCAGGCAACGGCGCUCCAACGCCGAUCGCAUCGAGCGGAGCCGGCGCGGGACGGGGGGCGAGUUCUCCUCAAAGAGGGGGAAUGCGGAGAAGGGGAUUUAGGAUGAGAGGGACAGGGGCUGCUGAUGUUGAUCCUUUCUGCAGUCAUCUCCAUCACUGCAUUUCCCCUCCACUGCAGGACCUAACACACCCUCAGGUGGUUCAUACCUCCAUACAGCAGAUGUUUGCUCUCCAGACCUUGCUGUUCAACCUUCACUUACAGGUGAAGCUCUUCCAUUUCUUAACAUGCUAACCCUGUCAGUCUGUCACUUCGUUUGGAGGUGAGGUGUAAGGCUGCCAUGUCCCACCUCAUUACUCAUGUGCAGACUCACUGCAUGGAGCACCAUCUGGCACAGCUAUCACUAACACUGCAUCGUGUUAAAUUUAGAGCAAUUUCCUGCACUUACGUGCAAAGCUGCAGCAUUCACGUGCUGUGAGGAACAUGAAUCUGAGAGGAAACUGAGGGAGAGAAUCCUUUGAUAGCAAAGAGACUUUUCAAGGACACAGCAAGGAGCUUGAUUUAAGACACUUGAAAACAACAUUGAUUUUAAAGCCGGAAGACUGGAAGAGGAUAUUUCUCCCUUGAAGGAAAAAAAAAAAUGUUAAUUUAUUACAUUACAUUCCUCCCCUUUCCAAUUUCAGUACUUCCUCCAGUGCCAGAACCUGCAAUAGGAAGUGAGUAAAACACCCCAGUAUAAGCUAAAUAAUUCAAGGUGAGUUUGGGGAUCUUCUGGGGAGUAGAACCUUGCAUGGAUACCUCUGUGCAGUCAAGUAUAUAAAUAACUGCAUGCAAGACUAAGAUUGCCUUAGUAACCAUGUUAAAAACACCAUCUUUGGGAACAGACAGAGCAAAAUUGAAAGUGUUUAUGGAUGAGUUAUUUGAGAAAAAACUGUGCAGGCAUAGAAUGAAAAGAUGGCAAAUAAGGAGGAUCCAGAAACAGAAAUAAUAGUUAUUUAGUGGUGCAGGAGGCAGAGAGAGGAGCAACAGAACUGUCAUGCAAUAAUGGGUGUAUAUACACCAGUAGUGCAACUGCUAAACUGUAACAGUCAUGUGUAACCUGAGUGAGAAGCACAGAAAGAGUAGUGUCUUAUUAGAAGUCGAUUAGUUGACAAGUUAGCUUCUUGAUUUAUUAGAUGAUUAGUAGAGCUCUGAUUAGUCAAGUCUAGAAAGUCUAGUCUUUUGGAUCAGUCCUAUCCCAAGCCUGCUGUAGAGCAGGCAGCUGGACCCAUAACAAAAUCCUGCAAUUCAUCACUGGUUAGGACAGGUGUCUGUUCUUUGCUCACUCUCUUUAAUCCAUUGAGAAGCUCUGAGGAAUGCUCAACUGGCCUCCCAGAUCUUAGUAACAUUGGAGUGUUCUUAAAGCCUGCAAAUGCACAGGCCCUUUUUGUAACUGCAUUAAGUAUCAUUAACAGAAUUAACUUAGGAUUCAAGAACUUGGAAAUAACUUCCCUGUAGGCAUGCUAUUCCUUGGGCUCCCCAAAGAAGUAUUUAAUGUACCGUUAGUACAGAAACUUUGAUGUGGAGCAAUUGCUGUAUCUGCCACACUGACUCCUAAGUCAGAGAACUUUAAGGCCAAACCUUGUUAUAAGUGUUCUAAAUAAAAUUGUGCUUAAGGAAUUUCAGGCUCAUGGCUGUGAAUGAGGAAUUGCACUGAUCCAGCAGCACUUGAUGCUACAGUUUCCAGGACAGCCAGCUUCAGUGUACAACUCAAAUCAAGAGCAGCAGGUGGCUGCUUAUACCCGUCCCUGGUGUUAAACUUGCAGGUGGCUUUGAUGUUCAUUGCCAUAUCCAUUUUCUUCCCAGUUCUGUCUUGUUCAUUUUAGAAUGCAAACUUCUAGAAACAGCAGUAGUAUUGUGUUUAAGUAAGGUAGAUAAGCAUUCCGACUGCGUGAUUGAGAAAGAUUAUUCUCCAUUCUCCUCUUCAGCACCCAAUACAAUGUAUGCAACAAACCACCACUGUUAAACAGCGAUAACACAAAGAAGACAGAAUAUCUUUCACUCUUCAAAAGAAGUUCCCACUGGCAUACUUUGUGUACCAGGAAUUACAAAAUACAGAGCUGCCUUAGAAAAGCCUACAUUUUAAAGAGUAACCAAAGUCAAACCCAGAUGUAUUGACAACCAAUAACGUGUGUUUCAUGAAGGAGUUUAUUGUAAGAAUGUACAGAUAUUUCUGGGGCUUUGCCACUUCUUCAUAAAAUAGCAGAGCAGUCUUAUUAAUGAACACAGGCAAGUUAAAUCAUACGCUCAGAAGUAUUCUUCACCUGUAAGGAAAAUUGAAGCAAAUUAAAAUCUUUCAAUCAAUGUUUCUUUUUAAAACGCAUCACCUCUGAUUUUAAGUGCUUUAACAACUCAUUCUUCCUGACUCCCUCCUCCCCUUCAACUCUCUCUCAAGACUACUUUUAUUUGAAACUUUAAAUGCUUAUUUUGCUACAAACUUCUCUUCAGGUGUAAUGUUUUACAAAUAGACAUUUUUAAGUCACAGCCCAAUGUCAGGGCACUACGAAAAAAUGAAGCAAUACUUUCAAAUAAAUCCAAUAACUCAGAGAUUAAAAAAAACCACAGAAAACU